Molecule: ribosomal RNA, 496 nt
Filed under: uncultured bacterium
Lineage: Bacteria
Description: partial 16S ribosomal RNA
Rfam family: Bacterial small subunit ribosomal RNA
Source: RNAcentral
AUGAACGCUGGCGGCGUGCCUAAUACAUGCAAGUCGAGCGAACGGACGAGAAGCUUGCUUCUCUGAUGUUAGCGGCGGACGGGUGAGUAACACGUGGAUAACCUACCUAUAAGACUGGGAUAACUUCGGGAAACCGGAGCUAAUACCGGAUAAUAUUUUGAACCGCAUGGUUCAAAAGUGAAAGACGGUCUUGCUGUCACUUAUAGAUGGAUCCGCGCUGCAUUAGCUAGUUGGUAAGGUAACGGCUUACCAAGGCAACGAUGCAUAGCCGACCUGAGAGGGUGAUCGGCCACACUGGAACUGAGACACGGUCCAGACUCCUACGGGAGGCAGCAGUAGGGAAUCUUCCGCAAUGGGCGAAAGCCUGACGGAGCAACGCCGCGUGAGUGAUGAAGGUCUUCGGAUCGUAAAACUCUGUUAUUAGGGAAGAACAUAUGUGUAAGUAACUGUGCACACCUUGACGGUACCUAAUCAGAAAGCCACGGCUAACUACGUG